Molecule: small nucleolar RNA, 85 nt
Organism: Pyrus x bretschneideri (Chinese white pear)
Lineage: Eukaryota; Viridiplantae; Streptophyta; Magnoliopsida; Rosales; Rosaceae
Product: small nucleolar RNA SNORD34
Exons: 1
Source: RefSeq, a predicted model, not a curated record
AGAGGCCUAUGAUGAUCUAAAGAAUUGCCUACAUUGUCAGAUUAUUUCUCAUGAUAGAGUAACCUAAAUUAUUUCCGAGGCCUCG